UACGUAGGGGGCAAGCGUUAUCCGGAUUUACUGGGUGUAAAGGGAGCGCAGACGGCAGUGCAAGUCUGAAGUGAAAACCCGAGGCUCAACCACGGGAUUGCUUUGGAAACUGUACAGCUAGAGUGUCGGAGGGGUAAGCGGAAUUCCUAGUGUAGCGGUGAAAUGCGUAGAUAUUAGGAGGAACACCGGUGGCGAAGGCGGCUUACUGGACGAUAACUGACGUUGAGGCUCGAAAGCGUGGGGAGCAAACAGG
Molecule: ribosomal RNA, 253 nt
Filed under: uncultured Syntrophococcus sp.
Lineage: Bacteria; Bacillati; Bacillota; Clostridia; Lachnospirales; Lachnospiraceae
Description: partial 16S ribosomal RNA
Rfam family: Bacterial small subunit ribosomal RNA
Source: RNAcentral